This is a non-coding RNA of Anarrhichthys ocellatus (wolf-eel), 72 nucleotides long. Lineage: Eukaryota; Metazoa; Chordata; Actinopteri; Perciformes; Anarhichadidae. The record is from the annotation of a RefSeq genome assembly.
UCCCUGAUGGUCUAGUGGCUUGGAUUCGGCGCUCUCACCGCUGCGGCCUGGGUUAGAUUCCCAGUCAGGGAA